GUAGGUGGCAAGCGUUGUCCGGAAUUAUUGGGCGUAAAGCGCGCGCAGGCGGUUCUUUAAGUCUGAUGUGAAAGCCCACGGCUCAACCGUGGAGGGUCAUUGGAAACUGGAGAACUUGAGUACAGAAGAGGAAAGCGGAAUUCCACGUGUAGCGGUGAAAUGCGUAGAGAUGUGGAGGAACACCAGUGGCGAAGGCGGCUUUCUGGUCUGUAACUGACGCUGAGGCGCGAAAGCGUGGGGAGCAAACAGGGAUUAGAUACCCUGGUAGUCCACGCCGUAAACGAUGAGUGCUAAGUGUUAGGGGGGUUUCCGCCCCUUAGUGCUGCAGCUAACGCAUUAAGCAUCCGCCUGGGGAUACGGCCGCAAGGCUG
This 371-nucleotide ribosomal RNA is filed under the name uncultured organism. RNAcentral's name for it is "partial 16S ribosomal RNA". It matches the Rfam family "Bacterial small subunit ribosomal RNA", at positions 527 to 896 of the family's 1533-position model. The record is from RNAcentral.